CAGCAUUUCCGGAGCUUAACAUGCAAGUCGAACGGCAGCACGGACUUCGGUCUGGUGGCGAGUGGCGAACGGGUGAGUAAUGUAUCGGAACGUGCCUAGUAGCGGGGGAUAACUACGCGAAAGCGUAGCUAAUACCGCAUACGCCCUACGGGGGAAAGCAGGGGAUCGCAAGACCUUGCACUAUUAGAGCGGCCGAUAUCGGAUUAGCUAGUUGGUGGGGUAACGGCUCACCAAGGCGACGAUCCGUAGCUGGUUUGAGAGGACGACCAGCCACACUGGGACUGAGACACGGCCCAGACUCCUACGGGAGGCAGCAGUGGGGAAUUUUGGACAAUGGGGGAAACCCUGAUCCAGCCAUCCCGCGUGUGCGAUGAAGGCCUUCGGGUUGUAAAGCACUUUUGGCAGGAAAGAAACGUCAUGGGCUAAUACCCCGUGAAACUGACGGUACCUGCAGAAUAAGCACCGGCUAACUACGUGCCAGCAGCCGCGGUAAUACGUAGGGUGCAAGCGUUAAUCGGAAUUACUGGGCGUAAAGCGUGCGCAGGCGGUUCGGAAAGAAAGAUGUGAAAUCCCAGAGCUUAACUUUGGAACUGCAUUUUUAACUACCGAGCUAGAGUGUGUCAGAGGGAGGUGGAAUUCCGCGUGUAGCAGUGAAAUGCGUAGAUAUGCGGAGGAACACCGAUGGCGAAGGCAGCCUCCUGGGAUAACACUGACGCUCAUGCACGAAAGCGUGGGAGCAAACAGGAUUAGAUACCCUGGUAGUCCACGCCCUAAACGAUGUCAACUAGCUGUUGGGGCCUUCGGGCCUUGGUAGCGCAGCUAACGCGUGAAGUUGACCGCCUGGGGAGUACGGUCGCAAGAUUAAAACUCAAAGGAAUUGACGGGGACCCGCACAAGCGGUGGAUGAUGUGGAUUAUUCGAUGCAACGCGAAAACCUUACCUACCCUUGACAUGUCUGGAUUCCGAGAGAUUGGAGUGCUCGCAGAGACGGAAACAGGUG
This 1000-nucleotide ribosomal RNA is filed under the name Achromobacter xylosoxidans. Its description in RNAcentral is "bacterial SSU rRNA". It matches the Rfam family "Bacterial small subunit ribosomal RNA", at positions 31 to 1040 of the family's 1533-position model. Lineage: Bacteria; Pseudomonadati; Pseudomonadota; Betaproteobacteria; Burkholderiales; Alcaligenaceae. The record is from RNAcentral.